Nematostella vectensis (starlet sea anemone) is the source of this 4382-nucleotide long non-coding RNA. RefSeq lists it as uncharacterized. NCBI's taxonomy places the organism in Eukaryota, Metazoa, Cnidaria, Anthozoa, Actiniaria, Edwardsiidae. The transcript has 3 exons. The record is from RefSeq and is a predicted model, not a curated record.
GGCGACCCAUGGCGGUGGAAUCAAUCGAAAAAUGUAUUAUUUGUAGCGAACCUUUAGUAGAAUUAACGCAAUGCCGAAAUGUGUCAUCUUCCCAGCGAAGUGUAUAUUUUGUAAGAAGGAUAAGUAUAGUUCUGGUUCUAGAACAAGAGAGAAGCCCCAUAUAGUGUGCAGGAAUUUCGAGCGGAUGAUAAAGUAAGGAAAUGUGCAUCACUUCAUUUAGAACAGCAUACCAGCCAGAGUUCCACAGCCACGGAGAUAAUAUGGAUUUGCUCAAAAGACCUGAUUAGUAGCGAAGCCAAAUACCAUUCUACAUUUUACAAUACUUUCGUGAGUAUUAUGUACACUAGUGCUAGAGCAAAUGCCGGUACUUCGGAGGGGGAUAACACAGAAGGCGUCUGAUAGAUGUAGUAGUGAUGAAGCAGUGUUUUCCUUUUGUGAGACCUUGAUCUCAAAACCCAGAGUAAUAGAGUUAAAGGAAAUAAGUCAGAUAAUGACAAAGGAAGCAGAACAAGUGGGCGUGACCAUGUUACAGUCACAAAACAAAAACCUCUUGCGCGUUAUAUACAACAAGUUUAAAGAGCUUGAAUUUAUUAAUUAUCAGCAUAAUAAAAUUCUUGUUUACCCCUCUACAAUUAAAAUAGAGGACGUCGUUGUCGGCAAUUUUGAGCUUACAUGCGAUCUGACAUCAGCAAAUCUCGCAAGUGAUGGCAAUGACAGAAGGUGAUUAGUGUAGCAAAGCUACUUAAUGAAAACAAAUAAUAAUAAAAGUCACCCAGUGGCAUUGUCCUGGCCGCCAGAGGGAAAAGAACUCAUGCCAGAAAAGGUUGAUGAUUUCAUCCCAGAUCUCCUAGAUACAUUUUGCUCAGUGCUUAUUUUUGGCCAAUCCUUAGACAGGGAAAAGAGUAGGUCGAUCAUAACAAUAAGAACUAACUAAGAACUAACCCAAGACAUCGUAUAUUCCGCAUUCAAUGCGCCAUCAAAACUCCUAAAAGUGUUCUGUUUCUGUCUGUUGUAAAGGCACUUUGCAAAAACACCGACAUUGUUAAAAUGAUCCAUAAAUGCGGAUAUGGAAUUAGCUAUAACCUUGUAGAAGAAGUCGAUACCGUUUUUGCUUUAAAGGUUAUCAAUGAACAAGCCCUGAAUCGAGUACUUAUCCCGGACAAGUGUAAUCGUCCUGAAAACAGGCCCGAUGUUGCGCUGAUAGUAGCGGAAAACAUCGAUAACCUCGAGUGUACUGCCACCAGGGCAGGGACUUCGCAUAGAGUGAACUCCAUUCUAGUUCUAAAGCACAGCAUAGAGGGAGGUCACGAUGAUGAGAUCGUUGAACAGGAGGUCUUGCAGCAGCCUCCAGUAAAGCGACAAUGUCAACUGUCGCUGGGCGCAGAAUUAGUAUGGAAGGACAUACCAGAGUAUUAUGGAGGUAGACGGAUUGGACCGGGCGUGUUGUCUCACGAGCAGUACGUGGGUGUUCGUUCCUCGUAUGCAAGCUCUGAAUGAUGAAUCUAGUGUGGAUUGAGCUAAGAAAACUCAUAACCCACCCUCUUCUGCUUGUACCAGGCUGGACGGGAUUCAAUAUCAAGGUCAGGGACAACGUAGCGCUUCGGGGACGGUGGACUGCGUGACAUUGCAGUACAAGUAAAGUGGUCGCCGAGGAUCUAUAGACAGUGUGCGAACUGGCAAACAUUAUAACAGGGCUGUCCGACUCCAUAAGAUUGUGUACGAAGCGAUUAGUAGACUACUUUUGGAUGACUUUAAAUCCUGCCUCAACGAAGAUAAAUUAGAAAUGCUGAAUCAGCAUAAGAUCGAACUGGAACAGCUUUAGUUAAAACUUAGCCAAGAAGAGCUAGAGCGAGUUUUAGAGUGGAAACGAUUCGAGCACUGGGAAAUCGGGUUUGAAGCACAUAUUUCCAACACGAAGGAAAACGGCAGUGACCUCUCAAGAUUCUGGUUAACGUACCUCGAACUAUGCCAACUUCUGUUAAACCUAAUCUAUUCUACUCGAACCGGAAGCUGGGAAGUCUAUCUUGCUUGCAUUGAAGAUGUUAUUCAAUUGACUUUUGCGUAUGACAGACAGAACUACUUAGUUCCAUACCUCAAUGACAUGUGUUCAUUACCCGACUCUUAUCCUGAUGUAUAUGCUGCCUUCGCAGAUAACCAAGAACCCUUUCGUACAAAACGAGGCCGACAAGACGAUUGAAAAUACCAUCAACUGGGACUGCAAAACCGGGAGUGGUUAUAUAAGCUUCAGUUCAAAUUUUGCAGCGACGCAAGGAUGGGUAAUGAACAAUUCAAGGCGUUGCGUAUUUUCCGAGAGCAUUUGUCUCUAGCGCCCAGUGAAGCUAAGUCACACAAAGAGCUCGUUCCAUCUCGAAUCAAGAUGGACAGUGAGGCAGUAUGUAAUGUUGUUGACGGGUUAGAGAAUCUAUUCUGCAGUCCUUUGACCAAAGACGUGCAUUAACCAGUCUGUCCGCUGGUUUAGCAGCAACUCCCGUGAUAUAAGAUGAUCUUCUUCGGGCGAAAACCAAGGGCCAGAAUGCAUGCAGAGAUUUUAUAGUAAAGAGGUGUUCUUCUUCUGCUUCCCUCGACUUUUUUGACCCGCUCAAGAAGCUUAAACUGAAGUCAUUCAAAGAUCUCAAGAAAGUCACUAAGGUUUCUUCAAAGAACGCAGUGAUCCCGAUGCAAUUAGAUCGCGCUGUAUUCGUCAGGAUGGCACUAAUAGGCCAGUUUCGAAAGAUAGACUUGCGAACUGUGUUCAUGUACCCUCUUGGACCACUAUCGUAGGCACUGGCAGACGAGUAUGGUUUUCCACGUAAGACAAAGAAGGCCGCACUUGCACAACACCUAGAGAAACAAGUAACGAUCAUCAGCGACUUUCCUGCCAACAGCACAAGUAUCUAUGACGGAAUGGCGGUUCUGCAAAGGUUUAAGCCUUUUCCCAGUGCUACGUUCGCUGUUGUAGCAGAGAGAGUGUUUGACCCAAUUACAUCUAAUUCCAGUAAGCGCAUUGACAUGGUGUUUGACGUCUACAGAAAGAUUGAAAUCAAUAACGUAGAGAGAAUGAUGCGUGCGUCGGGGCCAGAAGGCGUAACUUUUACCAGGUUAUGGCGUAAAAAACUGGAGCAAAAUCUUGUGUGUUUCCUCUAACAGAACAGCUGUGAUCCAAUUUUUAGUGGCUGAAUGGAAAGAAGAGAAAUUCAGAGACAAACUUGGCGACAAGACGAUGUAUGCUACACUAGAAGAGAAGUGCUGGAAGAUCACCAACACAGCAGCAACCCUUGUGCCUGGGUUACUAUACAGUCAAGAGGAAGCUGAUACCCGAAUGGUAUUACACGCCCAGCAUGCGGGUGGGAAGUGCGUCAUCCUUUCCGACGACACAGACCUGCUUGUAAUGCUCCUUGGACACGCCCACAACCUGAGUAAAUGCUAUCUAAAGAAAGGCAGAGGGGAAAAGAGUAAAAUCAUUGAACUGUCCGAAGUUUCAGACAAGGUAGGAAGGCGGACCGCUCCAGGUGUCUCCAAGGAAAAAGUUCUACAAGGUCUCAUCGGUCUACACGCCGUGACGGGCUGCGAUACCGUCUCCACCUUCUCAUCCAAGGGCAAAUGGCGCCCACUACAAGAGUUACGCCAAUGCUAUGUGCGAUAUCGGAAAGGAAUAGAAGGUACCCGAGGCGACGUUCAGAGUGACCCAAGAGCUAGUGUGUCAGCUCUAUGGGAAGAAGUGCCAAAGUGUCGAUGCUCUACAGUACGAGUUGCAUUGUAUUAAAGGCGGCAAGGUUGAACCAGAGUUGCUCCCACCCUGCCAAUCGUCACUGCGCCUUCAUGUGGCGCGUGCAAAUUACCAGGCGGCCAUAUGGAGGAGAGCAACGGAGGCGUGUCCCGAAGUCCCUUCACCUCACGGUCAUGGCUGGAAACUAACAGAGGGCACUUUGGAGUUUGAAUGGCUCGGCUCUAAGCCCGCACCUGAAGAGGUUUUAGAGCUGAUGAUGUGCACGUGCAAACGAAAGUGCAAAACAGAAACGUGCUGCUGCGUCAAAGCAGGGCUUAAGUGCACAGAGGGCUCAAGUGCAUGCGACAACAUGACCAAUGAAGAAGAGGAUGGUGUGGUCAGAUAGCGACAACGAGUUUGACGACUAGGCUUUUAAAAAUAUCAGUUUCUAGCGAUGCCGACUCUGGUGAAUGACUGGUGAAUGCCUCUAGUGAACGACUCUGGUGAAGGACUCUCGUGAAUGACUCUGGUGGAUGAGCGGUGAAUGACUCUAUGAGUUGAAACUAAGGAAUUCCGUAGCGUUGCAGCUAGGCCUGUCAACAGACGAAAUCGAGAGUGUGUCGGAUAGCGACGCGGACAAACUUGACGACUAGGCUUUUCCAAAUGGAUUUACCAG